AGUGAAGCGGCAAGAGCUCAAAUUUGAAAUCUGGCCUCCCCCGGGGGCCCGAGUUGUAAUUUGCAGAGGAUGCUUCGGGUGCGGCCGCCGUCUAAGUUCCUUGGAACAGGACGUCAGAGAGGGUGAGAAUCCCGUCUUGGGCGGGCGGUCCGCGCCCGUGUGAAGCUCCUUCGACGAGUCGAGUUGUUUGGGAAUGCAGCUCUAAGCGGGUGGUAAAUUUCAUCUAAAGCUAAAUAUUGGCCGGAGACCGAUAGCGCACAAGUAGAGUGAUCGAAAGGUUAAAAGCACCUUGAAAAGGGAGUUAAACAGCACGUGAAAUUGUUGAAAGGGAAGCGCUUGCGGCCAGACUCGGGGGCGGGGUUCAGCGGGUGCUCGUCGCCCGUGUAUUCCUCGUCUCCCGGGCCAGCAUCAGUUUCGACGGCCGGUCAAAGGCCCCCGGAAUGUGUCGUCUCUCGGGACGUCUUAUAGCCGGGGGUGCAAUGCGGCCCGUCGGGACUGAGGAACGCGCUCCGGCUCGGAUGCUGGCGUAAUGGCCGUAAGCGGCCCGUCU
This 550-nucleotide ribosomal RNA is filed under the name Trichophyton mentagrophytes. RNAcentral describes it as "eukaryotic LSU rRNA". It matches the Rfam family "Eukaryotic large subunit ribosomal RNA", at positions 92 to 654 of the family's 3401-position model. The record is from RNAcentral. Lineage: Eukaryota; Fungi; Ascomycota; Eurotiomycetes; Onygenales; Arthrodermataceae.